RNAcentral lists this ribosomal RNA (531 nucleotides) under uncultured bacterium. RNAcentral describes it as "bacterial SSU rRNA". It matches the Rfam family "Bacterial small subunit ribosomal RNA", at positions 777 to 1305 of the family's 1533-position model. The record is from RNAcentral.
AAUAGAUACCCCAGGUAGUCCACGCCGUAAACGAUGAGUGCUAAGUGUUAGAGGGUUUCCGCCCUUUAGUGCUGCAGCUAACGCAUUAAGCACUCCGCCUGGGGAGUACGGCCGCAAGGCUGAAACUCAAAGGAAUUGACGGGGGCCCGCACAAGCGGUGGAGCAUGUGGUUUAAUUCGAAGCAACGCGAAGAACCUUACCAGGUCUUGACAUCCUCUGCCAACCCUAGAGAUAGGGCGUUCCCCUUCGGGGGACAGAGUGACAGGUGGUGCAUGGUUGUCGUCAGCUCGUGUCGUGAGAUGUUGGGUUAAGUCCCGCAACGAGCACAACCCUUGAUCUUAGUUGCCAGCAUUCAGUUGGGCACUCUAAGGUGACUGCCGGUGACAAACCGGAGGAAGGUGGGGAUGACGUCAAAUCAUCAUGCCCCUUAUGACCUGGGCUACACACGUGCUACAAUGGAUGGUACAAAGAGCUGCGAACCCGCGAGGGUAAGCGAAUCUCAUAAAGCCAUUCUCAGUUCGGAUUGUAGGC